UCGGGAAUUUUGGGCAAUGGGCGAAAGCCUGACCCAGCAACGCCGCGUGAAGGAUGAAGUAUUUCGGUAUGUAAACUUCGAAAGAAUAGGAAGAAUAAAUGACGGUACUAUUUAUAAGGUCCGGCUAACUACGUGCCAGCAGCCGCGGUAAUACGUAGGGACCAAGCGUUGUUCGGAUUUACUGGGCGUAAAGGGCGCGUAGGCGGCAAUUCAAGUCAUCUGUGAAAUCUCCGGGCUUAACUCGGAACGGUCAGAUGAUACUGCUUUGCUAGAGUGCAGAAGGGGCAAUCGGAAUUCUUGGUGUAGCAGUGAAAUGCGUAGAGAUGUGGAGGAACACCGAUGGCGAAGGCAGCCCCCUGGGUCAACACUGACGCUCAUGCACGAAAGCGUGGGGAGCAAACAGGAUUAGAUACCCCCGUAGUCCCUGAGCGGGCUGGCAAGGCGCAU
This 447-nucleotide ribosomal RNA is filed under the name uncultured bacterium. RNAcentral describes it as "bacterial SSU rRNA". It matches the Rfam family "Bacterial small subunit ribosomal RNA", at positions 355 to 825 of the family's 1533-position model. The record is from RNAcentral.